Molecule: ribosomal RNA, 575 nt
Filed under: Colletotrichum gloeosporioides
Lineage: Eukaryota; Fungi; Ascomycota; Sordariomycetes; Glomerellales; Glomerellaceae
Description: eukaryotic LSU rRNA
Rfam family: 5.8S ribosomal RNA (bases 204-357)
Source: RNAcentral
UCCGUAGGGUGAACCUGCGGAGGGAUCAUUACUGAGUUUACGCUCUAUAACCCUUUGUGAACAUACCUAUAACUGUUGCUUCGGCGGGUAGGGUCUCCGUGACCCUCCCGGCCUCCCGCCCCCGGGCGGGUCGGCGCCCGCCGGAGGAUAACCAAACUCUGAUUUAACGACGUUUCUUCUGAGUGGUACAAGCAAAUAAUCAAAACUUUUAACAACGGAUCUCUUGGUUCUGGCAUCGAUGAAGAACGCAGCGAAAUGCGAUAAGUAAUGUGAAUUGCAGAAUUCAGUGAAUCAUCGAAUCUUUGAACGCACAUUGCGCCCGCCAGCAUUCUGGCGGGCAUGCCUGUUCGAGCGUCAUUUCAACCCUCAAGCUCUGCUUGGUGUUGGGGCCCUACAGCUGAUGUAGGCCCUCAAAGGUAGUGGCGGACCCUCCCGGAGCCUCCUUUGCGUAGUAACUUUACGUCUCGCACUGGGAUCCGGAGGGACUCUUGCCGUAAAACCCCCAAUUUUCCAAAGGUUGACCUCGGAUCAGGUAGGAAUACCCGCUGAACUUAAGCAUAUCAAUAAGCGGAGGA